Bos taurus (domestic cattle) is the source of this 1813-nucleotide long non-coding RNA. The record is from Ensembl. NCBI's taxonomy places the organism in Eukaryota, Metazoa, Chordata, Mammalia, Artiodactyla, Bovidae.
CUGCUGAUGCUGCUGCCUACAGACCUACUCUGCCCUGAUGGAACCUCUGGCCAUUGCAGCCUGGGCCACUCAUGCUUCCUGCUCUCUCGAUGUCUAGUGUCUCUUUCUGGUUUUAUUUUCUUUGUGAUUCAGCCCCCCUCUGUAUGGGAGCUUGGGAACAGGUAUUUGCUGGCCUCAGAGUUGAAACUUCUUGGGAUGGCUGGUUAAGACCUUGCCUUCCAAUGUGGGGGAUGUGGGUUUGAUCCCUGGUCAGGGAGCUAGCUAAGCUCCCACCUGCUUCAUGGCCAAAAAAACCCAAAACAUAACAACAAUGUAACAAAUUCAAGAAAGACUUUAAAAAUGGUCCACAUCACACACACACACACACACACACACACACACACACACACACACAAAUUUUUUUUUUAAGAAUUGAAACCUCUCUGGCCUGGCCUGUUCUAGAACCUGAGUGACGUGCAUGAUUCUAUUCUUCCCUAAGAUGUUUCCUGCCAGGAAGCUCCUGGACUCUCAUGGGUGUCAAGGCCUCUCUCUUCUAGACCUAGGUCCUGGUGAAGACACAGUCUGGCUAUUGGCAGAGCCCAGUCAGAGUCUCUGUUUUACAGUUGCCUUCUAUGCCUGCAAACCCACCUGUAGUACCUCUGUUGAAUCCCUUCAGACAGAUAGGCCCUCCUGGGACCACCCAUUUGACCUUUUAAAUUGCUUUCACUGCUAGAAAGUUCUUCCUUCAUUCACUUGACAAUUCUUUGUAGAAACCAUUCCUUAGUCUGAGACCCAGCCCUCUAUUCUGGGGACAGGCCAGGUGGGGGUCUCUGCUCACACAGAGUUUAAAUCUAAAUUGGGGGCGUGGAGGUAGAAAACACAGAGAAUACAAAUGAUAAUGAGAUGUUUGAAAAAAACUGAGCUUGGCGGGGAAGCUCCAGGAGGCAGAGGAUGAUACCUCGGAGGCUUCUCUGAGGAGGUGGUGUUCAGGGUGGAGACCUGGUCCACUGGGGACCAGAGGGAUCAACCAUGGGGAUGAAUGUAACCUCCGACUGCAGCAUUAUUUUUAUGGAGAAAAUGGGACCUGCUUUACAAUGACUCAUUCAACGGAUCCCAACUAAGUGUGAUGCUCACCCUGGUCCCCAGAAUUACUUGAGACAGAAGCUACUAUCUUAGUGUUCGUCAAUUUUUCAAUCAGCAAACAUUGGUGGAGGCUCUUCUAGGGCUGGGGCGCUGGCAGUGGGUAUAAAGUGACAUCCUCCCUUGAAAGCCAGGGCAGAGGUGGCGGAGCUGGUGGGGCCGACUCAGGUGCCACCAUUUAUCAUAGUUUAGCAAAAGCCCAAUGUGGACACGAAUAAAGCCCCACAGGGGAGAGAAACUCAGAACACAAACUUCAGAAGGAACUAGGAACUGGUGGCUCAGAUGGUUAAGAAUCUGCCUGCAAUGUAGAAGACACAAGUUCAGUUCCUGGGUCGGGAAGAUCCCCUGGAGAAGGGAAUAGCUACCCAUUCCAGUAUUCUUGUCUGGCGAAUUCCAUGGACAGAGGAGCCUAGCAGGCUACAGUCCAUAGUGUCACAGUCAGACAUGAGUGAGCGACUUAACACUUAACUGGGUGCAGUCCUCCCUUGGGACAGAGGGACAAACCUCUGUGUUUUGACCCUCACACCCUUUCUACAUUUGUUACUAUUUCUGGUCUAGGGGGUGGACCCAGGGCUCCACUAAAAACAGCACAGAACGCACAUCUAUAAACUGUCCCCCAAGGGUUCCAGGGUUUAAACCAAUCUUGAGGCACACCAUCAUACGAUAUGGAGUGUUCAUUCCAAGAUUUCAAAUG